GAUGAACGCUAGCGGCAGGCUUAAUACAUGCAAGUCGAGGGGCAGCAGCUUUGUAGCAAUACAGGGGCUGGCGACCGGCAAACGGGUGCGGAACACGUACGCAACCUUCCUUUAACUGGAAGAUAGCCCACCGAAAGGUGGAUUAAUACUCCAUAACAUAUUGAAGAGGCAUCUCUUUGAUAUUAAAGCUCCGGCGGUUAAAGAUGGGCGUGCGUCUGAUUAGGUAGUUGGCGGGGUAACGCCCACCAAGCCUUCGAUCAGUAGCUGAUGUGAGAGCAUGAUCAGCCACGCGGGCACUGAGACACGGGCCCGACUCCUACGGGAGGCAGCAGUAAGGAAUAUUGGUCAAUGGACGCAAGUCUGAACCAGCCAUGCCGCGUGGAGGAUGAAGGCCCUCUGGGUUGUAACUUCUUUGAUAGGGACAAAUGCCACUUGCGAGUGAGCUGAGUGUACCUAUAGAAUAAGCACCGGCUAACUCCGUGCCAG
This 486-nucleotide ribosomal RNA is filed under the name uncultured bacterium. Its description in RNAcentral is "bacterial SSU rRNA". It matches the Rfam family "Bacterial small subunit ribosomal RNA", at positions 28 to 511 of the family's 1533-position model. The record is from RNAcentral.